RNAcentral lists this ribosomal RNA (440 nucleotides) under uncultured bacterium. RNAcentral's name for it is "partial 16S ribosomal RNA". It matches the Rfam family "Bacterial small subunit ribosomal RNA", at positions 338 to 795 of the family's 1533-position model. The record is from RNAcentral.
CCUACGGGUGGUAGCAGUAGGGAAUAUUGCUCAAUGGGGGAGACCCUGAAGCAGCAACGCCGCGUGGAGGAUGACGGUUUUAGGAUUGUAAACUCCUUUUGUUAGAGGAGAUAAUGCAGGUAUCUAACGAAUAAGCACCGGCUAACUUCGUGACAGCAGCCGCGGUACUACGGCGGGUGCAAGCGUUACUCGGAAUCCCUGGGCGUAAAGCGGGCGUAGGCGGGAUAGCAAGUCAGAUGUGAAAUCCUAUGGCUUAACCAUAGAACUGCAUUUGAAACUGUUAGUCUAGAGUAUGGGUGAGGUAGGUGGAAUUCGUGGUGUAGGGGUAAAAUCCGUAGAGAUCAAGAGGAAUACUCAUUGCGAAGGCGACCUGCUAGAACAUAACUGACACUGAUGCUCGAAAGCGUGGGGAUCAAACAGGAUUAGAUACCCUUGUAGUC